GUUGUAUAGUCAAGUAAUUAAGUGCAUGUGGUGGAUGCCUUGGCAGUCAGAGGCGAUGAAAGACGUGAUAGCCUGCGAAAAGCUCCGGGGAGGCGGCAAAUAUCCUUUGAUCCGGAGAUGUCUGAAUGGGGGAACCCACCUACUUUAAGGUAGGUAUUGCAACAUGAAUACAUAGUGUUGCAAGGCGAACGAGGGGAAGUGAAACAUCUCAGUACCCUUAGGAAAAGAAAUCAAUUGAGAUUCCCUCAGUAGCGGCGAGCGAACGGGGAUCAGCCCAUUAAGUUAUGUGUGUUUUAGUGGAACGCUCUGGGAAGUGCGAACGUAGAGGGUGAUAUUCCCGUACACGAAAGGGCACACAUAAUGAUGACGAGUAGGGCGAGGCACGUGAAACCUUGUCUGAAUAUGGGGGGACCAUCCUCCAAGGCUAAAUACUCCUGACUGACCGAUAGUGAACCAGUACCGUGAGGGAAAGGCGAAAAGAACCCCUGUGAGGGGAGUGAAAUAGAUCCUGAAACCGCAUGCAUACAAGCAGUGGGAGCACCUUCGUGGUGUGACUGCGUACCUUUUGUAUAAUGGGUCAGCGACUUAUAUUCAGUAGCAAGGUUAACCGUAUAGGGGAGCCGUAGAGAAAUCGAGUCUUAAUAGGGCGUUUAGUUGCUGGGUAUAGACCCGAAACCAGGCGAUCUAUCCAUGAGCAGGUUGAAGGUUGGGUAACACUAACUGGAGGACCGAACCCACUGUCGUUGAAAAGCCAGGGGAUGACUUGUGGAUAGGGGUGAAAGGCUAAUCAAGCCUGGUGAUAGCUGGUUCUCCCCGAAAGCUAUUUAGGUAGCGCCUCGGACGAAUACCAUAGGGGGUAGAGCACUGUUUCGGCUAGGGGGUCAUCCCGACUUACCAAACCGAUGCAAACUCCGAAUACCUAUGAGUACUAUCCGGGAGACAGACUGCGGGUGCUAACGUCCGUAGUCAAGAGGAAAACAAUCCAGACCGCCAGCUAAGGCCCCAAAAUCAUAGUUAAGUGGGAAACGAUGUGGGAAGGCAUAGACAGCUAGGAGGUUGGCUUANGAAGCAGCCACCCUUUAAAGAAAGCGUAAUAGCUCACUAGUCGAGUCGGCCUGCGCGGAAGAUGUAACGGGGCUAAAACUAUGUGCCGAAGCUGCGGAUGUAUACUUUGUAUACGUGGUAGGGGAGCGUUCUGUAAGCCGAUGAAGGUGUGUUGAGAAGCNNNNNNNNNNNNNNNNNNNNNNNNNNNNNNNNNNNNNAUGCUGGAGGUAUCAGAAGUGCGAAUGCUGACGUGAGUAACGACAAAACGGGUGAAAAACCCGUUCGCCGAAAGACCAAGGGUUCCAGUCCAACGUUAAUCGGGGCUGGGUGAGUCGACCCCUAAGGCGAGGCCGAAAGGCGUAGUCGAUGGGAAAAUGGUUAAUAUUCCAUUACUUCUGUGUAAUGCGAUGAGAGGACGGAGAAGGCUAAAUCAGCCUGGCGUUGGUUGUCCAGGUGAAAGGAUGUAGGCAUGUAUCUUAGGCAAAUCCGGGGUACUCUAUGCUGAGAUCUGAUAGCAAGCUGUACUUGUACAGCGAAGUGGUUGAUGCCAUGCUUCCAGGAAAAGUCUCUAAGCUUCAGUUACACAGGAAUCGUACCCGAAACCGACACAGGUGGUCAGGUCGAGUAGACCAAGGCGCUUGAGAGAACUCUGCUGAAGGAACUAGGCAAAAUGGUACCGUAACUUCGGGAGAAGGUACGCUGUUGUUGGUGAUGGAACUCGCUUCCUGAGCUGACGACAGCCGCAGAAACCAGGCCGCUGCAACUGUUUAUUAAAAACAUAGCACUCUGCAAACACGAAAGUGGACGUAUAGGGUGUGAUGCCUGCCCGGUGCUGGAAGGUUAAUUGAUGGGGUUAGCGUAAGCGAAGCUCUUGAUCGAAGCCCCAGUAAACGGCGGCCGUAACUAUAACGGUCCUAAGGUAGCGAAAUUCCUUGUCGGGUAAGUUCCGACCUGCACGAAUGGCAUAAUGAUGGCGGCGCUGUCUCCAGCAGAGGCUCAGUGAAAUCGAAAUCGCUGUGAAGAUGCAGUGUACCCGCGGCUAGACGGAAAGACCCCGUGAACCUUUACUGCAGCUUGACACUGAACUUUGACCUUACUUGUGUAGGAUAGGUGGGAGGCUUUGAAGCUGGAACGCUAGUUCCAGUGGAGCCGUCCUUGAAAUACCACCCUGGUAAUGUUGAGGUUCUAACUCUGUCCCGUGAUCCGGGACGAGGACCGUGUCUGGUGGGUAGUUUGACUGGGGCGGUCUCCUCCUAAAGAGUAACGGAGGAGUACGAAGGUGCGCUCAGCGUGGUCGGAAAUCACGCGUAGAGUAUAAAGGCAAAAGCGCGCUUAACUGCGAGACCCACAAGUCGAGCAGGUACGAAAGUAGGUCUUAGUGAUCCGGUGGUUCUGUAUGGAAGGGCCAUCGCUCAACGGAUAAAAGGUACUCUGGGGAUAACAGGCUGAUACCGCCCAAGAGUUCAUAUCGACGGCGGUGUUUGGCACCUCGAUGUCGGCUCAUCUCAUCCUGGGGCUGAAGCAGGUCCCAAGGGUAUGGCUGUUCGCCAUUUAAAGAGGUACGCGAGCUGGGUUUAGAACGUCGUGAGACAGUUCGGUCCCUAUCUACCGUGGGCGCUGGAAAUUUGAGAGGAUCUGCUCCUAGUACGAGAGGACCAGAGUGGACGAACCUCUGGUGUACCGGUUGUGACGCCAGUCGCAUCGCCGGGUAGCUAUGUUCGGAAGGGAUAACCGCUGAAAGCAUCUAAGCGGGAAGCCUACCUCAAGAUAAGAUUUCCCUAGGACUUUAUGUCCUCUAAAGAGCCGUUCGAGACUAGGACGUUGAUAGGUUGGAUGUGGAAGCAUAGUGAUAUGUGAAGCUGACCAAUACUAAUUGCUCGUGAGGCUUGACUAUACAACACCCAAGCAGUUG
RNAcentral lists this ribosomal RNA (2956 nucleotides) under Acinetobacter baumannii. RNAcentral's name for it is "bacterial LSU rRNA". It matches the Rfam family "Bacterial large subunit ribosomal RNA". Lineage: Bacteria; Pseudomonadati; Pseudomonadota; Gammaproteobacteria; Moraxellales; Moraxellaceae. The record is from RNAcentral.